ACCCAGACUCCUACGGGAGGCAGCAGUGGGGGAUAUUGCACAAUGGGGGGAACCCUGAUGCAGCGACGCCGCGUGGGUGAAGAGGUAUUUCGGUAUGUAAAGCCCUCUCGGCAGGGAAGAAAUUGGACGGUACCUGACUAAGAAGCCCUGGCUAACUACGUGCCAGCAGCCGCGGUAAUACGUAGGGGGCAAGCGUUAUCCGGAUUUACUGGGUGUAAAGGGAGCGUAGACGGCUGUGCAAGCCAGAUGUGAAAGCCCGGGGCUCAACCCCGGGACUGCAUUUGGAACUGCGUGGCUUGAGUGUCGGAGAGGCAGGCGGAAUUCCUAGUGUAGCGGUGAAAUGCGUAGAUAUUAGGAGGAACACCAGUGGCGAAGGCGGCCUGCUGGACGAUGACUGACGUUGAGGCUCGAAAGCGUGGGGAGCAAACAGGAUUAGAUACCCCAGUA
This 447-nucleotide ribosomal RNA is filed under the name uncultured bacterium. RNAcentral's name for it is "bacterial SSU rRNA". It matches the Rfam family "Bacterial small subunit ribosomal RNA", at positions 329 to 792 of the family's 1533-position model. The record is from RNAcentral.